GAUGAACGCUGGCGGCGUGCUUAACACAUGCAAGUCGAACGGAAAGGCCCAAGCUUGCUUGGGUACUCGAGUGGCGAACGGGUGAGUAACACGUGGGUGAUCUGCCCUGCACUUCGGGAUAAGCCUGGGAAACUGGGUCUAAUACCGGAUAGGACCACAUUUUGGAUGGUGUGGUGGAAAGUUUUUCGGUGUGGGAUGAGCUCGCGGCCUAUCAGCUUGUUGGUGGGGUAAUGGCCUACCAAGGCGUCGACGGGUAGCCGGCCUGAGAGGGUGUACGGCCACAUUGGGACUGAGAUACGGCCCAGACUCCUACGGGAGGCAGCAGUGGGGAAUAUUGCACAAUGGGCGCAAGCCUGAUGCAGCGACGCCGCGUGGGGGAUGACGGACUUCGGGUUGUAAACUCCUUUCGCUAGGGACGAAGCGUUAUGUGACGGUACCUGGAGAAGAAGCACCGGCUAACUACGUG
This 466-nucleotide ribosomal RNA is filed under the name uncultured bacterium. RNAcentral's name for it is "partial 16S ribosomal RNA". It matches the Rfam family "Bacterial small subunit ribosomal RNA", at positions 28 to 507 of the family's 1533-position model. The record is from RNAcentral.